Long non-coding RNA from Spinacia oleracea (spinach), 364 nucleotides. RefSeq lists it as uncharacterized. The record is from RefSeq and is a predicted model, not a curated record. The transcript is spliced from 3 exons. Lineage: Eukaryota; Viridiplantae; Streptophyta; Magnoliopsida; Caryophyllales; Amaranthaceae.
CAAUGACAGUAUACGGAAGUGCUGUGACAUGUUGUUGUCAACGCUCAUGUAUGUAGCUGCUGCUGUAAGGCUGCAAUGUUGUUGAGCUGCUGUAGGUUGUUCGUUGCAGUGGCCUUGGUUGCUAUGAUGUUGACACCCGUGCUAUCACCCGUAGAUUGAGGGAAGAUGGGAGUCUUAUUGGUGUGCUGAGCACAUAAGAAACAAAAUCAGACAACCAACGACUCUUAGAAAUGGCUCGUUCUAGGACAUUGUCGGUGUUGAUUUGAUAAGUGGUGUUUCUUGCCAAGCUCCUUAAAUGGGUCAACAAAACUGACGUUGAAUGGGAAUUUAAUACAAACGGCAGAACUGGGUAAACUUUUAAGGU